This 415-nucleotide ribosomal RNA is filed under the name uncultured bacterium. RNAcentral's name for it is "partial 16S ribosomal RNA". It matches the Rfam family "Bacterial small subunit ribosomal RNA", at positions 355 to 766 of the family's 1533-position model. The record is from RNAcentral.
UGGGGAAUUUUGGACAAUGGGGGCAACCCUGAUCCAGCAAUGCCGCGUGUGUGAAGAAGGCCUUCGGGUUGUAAAGCACUUUUGUCCGGAAAGAAAACGCCGUGGUUAAUACCCGUGGCGGAUGACGGUACCGGAAGAAUAAGCACCGGCUAACUACGUGCCAGCAGCCGCGGUAAUACGUAGGGUGCAAGCGUUAAUCGGAAUUACUGGGCGUAAAGCGUGCGCAGGCGGUCCGCUAAGACAGAUGUGAAAUCCCCGGGCUUAACCUGGGAACUGCAUUUGUGACUGGCGGGCUAGAGUAUGGCAGAGGGGGGUAGAAUUCCACGUGUAGCAGUGAAAUGCGUAGAGAUGUGGAGAAUACCGAUGCGAAGGCAGCCCCUGGGCCAAUACUGAGCUCAUGCACGAAAGCGUGGGG